This 480-nucleotide ribosomal RNA is filed under the name uncultured organism. RNAcentral describes it as "partial 16S ribosomal RNA". It matches the Rfam family "Bacterial small subunit ribosomal RNA", at positions 329 to 800 of the family's 1533-position model. The record is from RNAcentral.
ACGUACACUCCUACGGGAGGCAGCAGUGGGGAAUAUUGCACAAUGGGCGCAAGCCUGAUGCAGCCAUGCCGCGUGUAUGAAGAAGGCCUUCGGGUUGUAAAGUACUUUCAGCGGGGAGGAAGGCGAUAAGGUUAAUAACCUUGUCGAUUGACGUUACCCGCAGAAGAAGCACCGGCUAACUCCGUGCCAGCAGCCGCGGUAAUACGGAGGGUGCAAGCGUUAAUCGGAAUUACUGGGCGUAAAGCGCACGCAGGCGGUCUGUCAAGUCGGAUGUGAAAUCCCCAGGCUCAACCUGGGAACUGCAUUCGAAACUGGCAGGCUAGAGUCUUGUAGAGGGGGGUAGAAUUCCAGGUGUAGCGGUGAAAUGCGUAGAGAUCUGGAGGAAUACCGGUGGCGAAGGCGGCCCCCUGGACAAAGACUGACGCUCAGGUGCGAAAGCGUGGGGAGCAAACAGGAUUAGAUACCCCUGUAGUCCCAUGA